AUAUGGUAAAAACCCUAGAGUUUCUAUAGCUAGUAACAUAGAGUAUGGUGAAUGGUUAAUAUAUUUAGUUGAACACAGCUCAUUAAAAUAAAACCAGUAGCCUCCCCAGUAUAAUAGCAUCUUUCUGCUAGCAGUAGCAAUAUCACAUUUGUUACAUGUUCACAGCCUGUUAAAACACUCAAUGAAUUCAGAUCUUACUCCUUAGCCAGUUUUUGGCUGAGUACUCUGCUAUAUCCCAAUAAUGUGGCUGUAUGCAACAAGGUUCUCGGAGUAAAAGUUUAAUACAAAAGCUGUAUGGUGUUAGAGGAAAACAUUUACCUCUGCUUUUCUAAUUUCAAAAGUUUCAAGCUCUGAAGGAUCCAGAUGGAGUCCAGUGAAGUAUUUGUAUGGUGAUCAUCUUCUGACUGUUCAGGCAGAAAUUAACUGCAAUCCCUGCUACAUUUUAUUGAAGCAGGAGUCUAGAAGCACUAGAUUUAAAUAGCUAAGUAUGUAAGGAAGCAGGCUGAAGUAAAGAUUCAUUUGAGAUGGUAUGGAGUUUUUACCUAGAAAACAAGAAAGGCCUGUCUGUUGUCCUGUAUUUAAAGAAGGUCACAUUUUAGUUACAGGUGAAGAUUUCAGAUCCCUUGGUUACUUAGAUUGAUGCUUGUUUUGGUGCUCCAGAAGGGAAAUAAAGGCAACAAAUAUUUUGAGGAACGUGAGUGAAUAGCCUCAGGAAAGUCUUGUGGAUCUUAGAAUUUUCUAAGGAGGCCUGUGACCAUUAUGCAGGAGUCACAAGAUUUAAUUAAGGAAACAGAUCCAUGGGACUGUUAGGCCAGGUCACAUCUGACUUUUGACAGAAAAGAGCACUUGCUUAUUUUGGAUAGAACAUACCUGCUUUAGGAUUGUCCUUAGACAGCCUCUGUCCUUAACCAAAUGUUGGGAAAAUACCUUUACCUGCCUUCUACCUCAGGGCUGUGAUGAGGUGUACCAGGGGAACCAGUCAAGAUUCAGCACUUUCCAAUAAACCCUGGUUCUUCACAGAGCUGGCUGUUUAUGAAGGAUGCACUGUUGUCAGGUGUCAGAGCAUGAGAGAGCUCUGGCUGGUAUUCUCAGAGCUGCCUGUCAUGUCUUCCCUGACAGAGCGGUGAGAGGCACUGAGUGCUUCUGUUCCCACUCUGAGAUGUGUCAUCGUAUGUCUAGGCUUGAAAGUGGCUCUGGGAAGAUUUAUCCAGCUGUUCUGGUAUAACCCUGAUAACUGCUCACCUUCUGUCUUUGGUCAGAGCAGGGGAAACUUAAGAUUUUCUUCCACAACUUAAAUUAUCUGAGCAGGAAAGGACAGCUAAGGAUCAAAAUACAGAGGUUUUUUUGUUAGUAGCAGAUAGAGAAGAGAAAAAACUCCCAUCAGAAAACAUCAGUGAUCCAUGUGCAUGCAUGGAUCUCUUCUAUAAAAAAUGGUCAUCUCAGUUAGUGAAAAGCCUCGUCCCAGCCCUAUCUGGAAAGUGUCAUGCUGAGUAAACACAGGCAUACACAAGAAACACCUCUUUCUAUUCUCCUAUUGCUGUUAAUUUGAGUUAUUGAUGCUAGUAUUUGUUCCAUUCCCAGCACUUGGGAACAAUAAAAACUAUCUCACUUGGGUGCCAAAUAACAAACCAAGGAGCUCAGAAUUUGACACAGGAGACUGAAGACACCAUUCAUGCAUUGCCAACCCUUAGAAGACACCUCUGUGCCUUACCUGCCUUGGUCUGUAUUGAUAAACAAUGGUUUCCUCAUGGUUCACAAGGAGUGGUUUGGCACCAAUAUGACUGCUUGCUUGUCAAGCACUGCUUGCUUGUCAAGCACUGUAGGAAUUAAUUUGUUUAAAUGUCAGUGAGAGGAGGCAAAGUCUGAAGGGAGGAGGAUUUAGUACACUUUUUGUUGGAAGAUAUUCAAAUUAGGGAGUACUUAACUAAAUUAAUAGCUAGUGCUGUGGGCCCUGAUGGUGUGUACCCAUGAGUGUAGAGGGAGCUGGCAGAUAUAAUUGUGAGGCCACUCUGAGUUAUCUUAGACUGAUCAUAGUGACUGGGAGAGGUUCCUGAGACCUGAAGGAUAAAGAAUGUCACUCCUGUCUUUCUUGUCUUCAAGACAGGCAAGUCUUGUCUACAGGCAACUGUAGGUCCAUCACCCCCAUCCUGACUCAUUAGUAGGAGGGAUGAAGUGCACCCUCCGCAAACUUGCUGAUGUUACCAAGCUGAGUGGUGCUGUUGACACUCCUAAAAGGAUGGGAUGUCAUCCAGAGGAGCCUGGACAAGGUUGAAAAGUAGGCCUACAGGAAUCUCAUGAGGAUUGACAGGGCCGAAUUCAAGGUGCCGCACCUGGGUCAGGACAACCCCCAGUAUCAGGGAACAGGCUGGGGAUGAACAGAUGGAGAGCAGCCCUGUGGGAAGGACUUGGGGGUCCUCGUGGAUGAGAGGCUGGACAUGACCCAGCCAUGGGCACUCUCAGCCCAGAAAGCCAAACAUGUCCUGGGCUGCAUCCAAAGCAGUGUGGGCAGCAGGGGAGGGAGGGGAUUCUGCCCCUCUGCUCUGCUCUGGUGAGAGCCCACUGGGAACCCUGCAUCCAGCUCUGGGGUCCCAGCACAGGAAGGACAUGGACCUGCUGGAGUGAGUCCAGAGGAGGCCACCAAGAUGACUAGGGGGAGGGAAAACCUGUCCUAUAAGGAAAGGCUGAGAGAAUUGGGAUUGUUCAGAACUGGGAAAAGAGAAGGCUUUGGGAUGACCUAACUGUGGCCUUACAGCACCUGAAGGGAGCCUACAAGACGGAAAGGGACUUUUCACAAGGGAGUGUAAUGAUAGGACAAGAGGGAAUGACUUCAAAUUGUUCGAGAGUAGGUUUAGAUUACAUGUUAGGAACAAAUUCUUUACUGUCAGAGUGGUUAGGCAUUGGAACAGGUUUUCCAAAGAAACUCUUGAUGCCCAGUCCCUGGGCAUGUUCCAGGCCAUUCUGGAUUGGGCUCUGAGCAACCUGGUCUGGUGGAAAUUGUCCCUGCCCAUGGCAAGGAGGUUGGAAAUAAAUGAUACUUAGUGUCCCUUUCAACCCUUUCUGUGGUUCUCUGUAUCAUGAUGUGAUGGUGAAACAACUUCCUGGAAACUAUUUAUUCCUGGAGAGAAAGUGAUUUGGAUUAGUCAGCAUAGAUAUACAAAGAGGAUGUCCUGCUUAAUAAAGUCAAUAACCAUCAAUGAUGAAAUUACUCAUUUGGUAUAUGAGGGGAUAGCAGUAGAUACUGCCUACCUUGACUUCAGUAAGGCUUUGGAUACUCCCAUAAAAUUAAUGGGUUUGAUGAGCAGACCGUGCGGUGGAUUGAAAACUGGUUGCAUGGCUGGGCCAUUCAUAGAGUGGUGUUCAAUGGCAUGAAGUUUGAGGCCGGUAAUUGGUGGUGCACCCUGGGGGUCGAUACUGGGUCCAACACUUUUUAAGCACCUUCAUUAAUGAUCUGGAUGAUGGAACAGAGUGGACUCACAGCAAGUUCACUGAUGACACCAAACUGGGAGGAGUGGUUGACACACCAGAGGAUGGUUCUACUCUUUACUGGGACUUUGACAUCAUACAGUUCAGCCAAGGGAAGUGCAAAGUCCUGCAUCUGGUACUUGUUGGAGGUCAAUUGGCCAAAACAACUUUGUGGGAAAGAACCUAAAGUCCUGGUGGGCAGCAAGUUGAACAAGAGCCAUCAACAUGCUCUUGUCCCAAUGCAGUUGAACAGUAUCCUGAGCUACAUUAGGAAGAGUGCUACCAGCAGGCUGAGAGAGUGAUAUUUCUUCUUUAUCCAGUACUGGUAAGGUCACACCUGGAGUGCUGUGGUGAGCUCUGGGCUUCUCAGAACAGCAGAGAUAUGGAGUUGCUGGAGAGUCCAGAAGGGCUCCAAAGAUGAUUAAGGGCCUGGAGCAUCUUUCAUACGAAGAAAGUCCAAGAGAGCUGGUAUACUUUCUCAGAGAAGGCUCAGAGGGAAAUCUCAUCAGUGUGUUCCAAAGUCUGAAAGAAGAACAAAACAAAAGGAGCCAGACUUUUUUUGGUGAUGCCCAGUGAUAGAUGAGGGGCACAAACUCAAAUGCUUGAAUUUUCCUCUGAAUAUCAGGUGAGACUUUUUUACUGUGUGAGUAAUCAAGGUGGUGGAUUCUCCUGCCUUGGGGAUCUUCAAAGGUCAUCUGGGCAUAGUCCUGGCAACCAGCAUGAAGUGGCCUUGUUUCAGCAGGGUGGUUGGACCAGAUGAACUCCAGAGAUUGCUUCCAGCUUCAGCCAUCCUACGUCCACCUCAGUCAUUCUACCUCAUACUCUACGUCUGUGACAGAUGUCAUGAAAUACUGAAGACGUAAAAGUUCCUACAGUCCUGACUGAAGCAAAUGCUGACCUUCAAGACAAAAUUGGAAUGCGUGUGCUGGACUUUUGUAUCUCUGGCGUAUACCCCUCUGAUAUGGAAGAGACAUCAUGUACUCCAAGUGUACAGUUCACUGACAGAAUGGCGAGACUCACAGCCUAGUAUGCUGAGAGAAGCAGCUUGUUAUGGGGCUUGCAUACUGAGAGGUGACUCAAACACUUUACCACUGCUCCUUUCAUUUGCCAGUCCAAGAUUUUGUUCCAACUCCAGCUGCAAGCAAUACAUAACAGGAAAACUUCAGUGAUACUACUUCAAGGCUUGGAGGGCACUUCAGUGUGAAAAAAUGUAUGCUUGGAACUUAUGGGUUAGGUAUUCUUUCUUCAGUACCUUUCUUCUGUUUCCAGUUAAUGAGUAAAGUGGUGAUGGAACUGUAUACAUAAGUGAUAAAUUCAGCACUCAUAAGUAAUUUAGAUUUGCAAACAGGAACUGCCACCCCACCUUCUAAGAAAGCAGAGUGCUUCAUGCAAAAAUCUCCAUCUAAGCCUUUGGAGAUUUAUGCAGUCUUAGCACAUGCUAAAAGUGUAAUACAUCAAGGCAAAAAAUGGCUUUCUCCUCCAAAAAAAUUAUUUUUCUUGAUGUUCUCAGAUGUUUCUUUAUCUCCACAUUUUUUGUAUUGAUUAGUUGAUCCCACUUGUAAGUAUAGAGCAACAUUUGUUUUCCAGUCUGGGUUUUACUAUAUUAUAUAUAUUUACUAUAUUACUAUAUUAUAUAUUUCUGAAGAUGAUGAUGAUGGUGUCCUGUGGUGCAGGGUACUGACAGGAAAUUCAGGGCCCCUUUCCUACCUCAGACAGCAAUCUUAUUCAGUAUUAGUGCUACUGUCAUAGGGAUACGCCGGAUGUGAGGUGAAGAAAAGAGAAUGAAAUAGCAUAUGGACGUUGGCAGGAGGCCAUAUGGACAACAGUCAGUUGUUUAGAAAGAGUGUGAAAGGGUUCCAAAAUGCUAUGUUUUGCACAUUCAUUCCUGCCUCUGAGCAGUGUUCAGCUAUUGGGGCUACUGUGACUGUAGGAAUCUUUCCCCUCUGCUAUCCUUCAUCUUAGAGCAGUCAAUUAUUGAGCUCCUUUAGUUAAAAAUAAACGUGUUGCUGUAGUUCUGAGAACAUCUGUUUUAAACAAGGUGACUAGAAGAUGUUUCUCAAGUCACUCGCAAAAAUUUUUUAGGCAAGACAGACUGAUCUUUAUAGGUCAUUAUUUCUGUGCAAAUAUUUGUGUUAAAGUUUGACUGUAAUUUCUGGACCAGAACCUGGCUCUUUGUCCUCUCCUUCCUGUCUGUCCAGAGAGAUGAGGCAGUGUGUUAUACAGACAGCAGAACUGCAGCUGUGCCAGGAUGCCUCUCACAUCCUGUACCUAUGCUGGGGUUUGGAGGACAGCAGCUCCUCUCUUAUGCCUGGCAGAGCAGAGAUAAGGGUCCUAUGCAUCAGCAGGCUGGCUCUGCCUGCGGAACAUUCAGGUUGGCAUGUCCUGUCUAAAGGCAGAAAUGUUGAAUGUUUCUUGUUUUGCCACGUUGGCUGAAUCACAUCUUGGUAAGGUAUUGAGAGCUGGCUGAGGCUAUAUCAUUAAAGCUCCAGUACACAUAUUUUCUCUUUUCAUCUAUUCCUUCUAUUCCUGUAUGGUUGGUUUGUCAUUUAAUGAGAUUUUUUUAUUCAAACUGUCUUUUCAAACUUGUAUUCUCACUGUAGUCACUACAGAUCCUUUGAGAUUCCCAUAGUAUUUGUGGGAAUUAGCAGGUUGGAAUCCUGAUUCCAGAGCAAGAAAUUUAUUUCUAGCUUGCAGACUGGUAUUCAGCCCACCACAGCUGACCUGGGAUUGGUGAACUUCACUGGAAAUGGAGUGUUUCACAGUGAAAUGCCUACUCAUCCUCAAAACUUCACAGAGAUUUUUAUUUUGAUAUACCAGCCAAGCUGAUAUAUGUUUCCAUUUUAUGUUGACCGACACCUCAUGGACCAAAUAAAAAUUUCUGUCUUGCUGACCAGCCAAUUCCCAUUAAGAGUUCUCUUCUGGGACAAAGCACAGUCAAAAGCACAGCAUGGCUCUCCUUUUUUGUAAGUUAGAUAUUCAGCUGAACUAAAACAAUGAGUCCUGAAAAUGGAUUUUAUUUUUUUUAACGUCUUGGAAGAAAAACAAAAACUUCUUUCUUGCAGACCAUAUAUAUUUGCAUUUGAACAAACUAUUUUUUUUUCCUUUUUCAGGAAGGGAAAAAAAAAUCCAGUUAGAUAUUUUUGUUUCAUUUGACUUUUCAGAUGGGGCUUAAGGAGAACAUUCACAAGGUCCUUCUGGGAACAGCUGCUAAAAUCCUGCCUGACAUGGCAAAUCUAUGUGUGACUUGUUGAACUGUGUUCAAGUCUCUGUAAAUUCAGGGAUGGUGAUGUGAUAUAAAAAGCUGUCUCUCAACAGUGAAAAGAAUCGUGUAAUUAACCCAACCAAACCUAUGCAGUUAUUUCAUAUGAUUUUCUGUUCAAGACACUAAGCUACCAAGUGAGACAGUGGGAGGUCAGAGAAAAUUCCAGUGGUUGACAGUGUCUGGAAAAAUUAUACAUUAUUACAGGGCAAGGAUACACCCAUGGGACUUUCUUUCCUCUUCCUGUAGUCAAAUCCUGACUAAACACUGUUACAGUUUCACAUUUAGCAACCAGGAAUUGCUUUGGGAAAAUAGACGUGUACAACACUGGGUUUUUUAUUUUUAGGUGGACCAGGUUGACUCAGCUCAUUGUGAUUGCUCCAGAGGGGCGAAUGGUCUGGUGGAUUGAAGGAAUGAGUAGCAUGAUGAAGAGGCAGUGCCAAAGGCACAAAGAAGUUCUGCCAUUAUUGCUGUAUCUAAGAAAAAGUGUAGCAAGCACCUGGAUAUUCCUUCAAGAAGUGCUUCUUGCUCCUGCAGCGGAAAUUCUGCAGGAGAUGAACAGUCUUGCAACAAUCUCAGAAGCCAGUCCUGAAAGUGCUUGCUAAACAGCACAGCUUUGUAACCUGAAGUACCAUGUCAGUAACACCAUUCUCCCAAACUCCCAUUUCUUCAAGUCUAAUAGGAGUCUUAUCUUGACAUUUUUUUUACCUUCUGACAGGCCUGGUGUGUUUUAACUCAGGAGUUUCAGUGUAGCUUAUGAUCCUUUAGUGUUUUGUGUUGCGUGUCAGAUGCUCCAAGAACAUUCACUACCGAUAUUAACCCAGAGAACAUGUGCCACAAAAUACUGUAUUGCUUAGAGUUUGUGAUUGGGUCUGUUGUAGUCUGUCAUUCAGAACAGGGAAAAAUUUUCAAACACUCUGAAAAGGGCAUUUAAUCUGUGCUUUAUUAUCAUGUUCUGUUCAAAGAGUAUUGCAAAAUUUGGCUAGAAACCUUUAUCUAUAAACUGAGAGUCAGCUUACAGAAUUUCUUGGUGGAAGUUAACUUUCAGUUCCUACUAAAGAAAUUGGGCAAACCUAUGCAUCUCUAAUCUCCAAGAGUUCAGAAAGCAUCAGUUAUUUUGUGAAGUAGUGUUAAAUUCUUUGCUUUGAAAAGUCUUUUCAGUUUUUUACAUUGAAAAGCUGCUGACAUUUACUUAAAACAAUAAAUCAAUGUAUUUUGCCUUCU
This is a long non-coding RNA of Haemorhous mexicanus (house finch), 7945 nucleotides long. RefSeq lists it as uncharacterized. The transcript has 2 exons. The record is from RefSeq and is a predicted model, not a curated record. NCBI's taxonomy places the organism in Eukaryota, Metazoa, Chordata, Aves, Passeriformes, Fringillidae.